AGAGUUUGAUCCUGGCUCAGGAUGAACGCUGCGGCGUGCCUAACACAUGCAAGUCGAACGGACUUACACAGAAGCAGGAGAUGCUUGCAUUGACUAACGGAAGUGUAAGUUAGUGGCGGACGGGUGAGUAACGCGUGGGCAACCUGCCCCAUACCGGGGGAUAACACCUGGAAACAGGUGCUAAAACCGCAUAAGCGCACAGCUUCGCAUGAAGGUGUGUGAAAAACUCCGGUGGUAUGGGAUGGGCCCGCGUCUGAUUAGCUGGUUGGCGGGGUAACGGCCCACCAAGGCGACGAUCAGUAGCCGGCCUGAGAGGGUGGACGGCCACAUUGGGACUGAGACACGGCCCAAACUCCUACGGGAGGCAGCAGUGGGGAAUAUUGGACAAUGGGGGAAACCCUGAUCCAACGACGCCGCGUGAGUGAAGAAGUAUUUCGGUACGUAAAGCUCUAUCAGCAGGAAAGAAAAUGACGGUACCUGACUAAGAAGCCCCGGCUAACUACGUG
This 506-nucleotide ribosomal RNA is filed under the name uncultured Lachnospiraceae bacterium. RNAcentral's name for it is "bacterial SSU rRNA". It matches the Rfam family "Bacterial small subunit ribosomal RNA", at positions 8 to 507 of the family's 1533-position model. Lineage: Bacteria; Bacillati; Bacillota; Clostridia; Lachnospirales; Lachnospiraceae. The record is from RNAcentral.